GAUGAACGCUGGCGGCGUGCCUAAUACAUGCAAGUCGAGCGAACAGACGAGGAGCUUGCUCCUCUGACGUUAGCGGCGGACGGGUGAGUAACACGUGGAUAACCUACCUAUAAGACUGGGAUAACUUCGGGAAACCGGAGCUAUUACCGGAUAAUAUAUUGAACCGCAUGGUUCAAUAGUGAAAGACGGUUUUGCUGUCACUUAUAGAUGGAUCCGCGCCGCAUUAGCUAGUUGGUAAGGUAACGGCUUACCAAGGCAACGAUGCGUAGCCGACCUGAGAGGGUGAUCGGCCACACUGGAACUGAGACACGGUCCAGACUCCUACGGGAGGCAGCAGUAGGGAAUCUUCCGCAAUGGGCGAAAGCUUGACGGAGCAACGCCGCGUGAGUGAUGAAGGUCUUCGGAUCGUAAAACUCUGUUAUUAGGGAAGAACAAAUGUGUAAGUAACUAUGCACGUCUUGACGGUACCUAAUCAGAAAGCCACGGCUAACUACGUG
RNAcentral lists this ribosomal RNA (497 nucleotides) under uncultured bacterium. Its description in RNAcentral is "partial 16S ribosomal RNA". It matches the Rfam family "Bacterial small subunit ribosomal RNA", at positions 28 to 507 of the family's 1533-position model. The record is from RNAcentral.